UUGAUCCUGGCUCAGAAUCAACGCUGGCGGCGUGCCUAACACAUGCAAGUCGAACGCGAAAGGGGACUUCGGUUCCCGAGUAGAGUGGCGCACGGGUGAUUAACACGUGGGUAAUCUGCCUUUGGGUGGGGAAUAACGGCCCGAAAGGGUCGCUAAUACCGCAUAACGCAGCGGCACCGCAUGGUGACAGUUGUUAAAGUGGGGGAUCUUCGGACCUCCUGCCUGAAGAGGAGCCCGCGCCCGAUUAGCUAGUUGGUGAGGUAACGGCUCACCAAGGCUGCGAUCGGUAGCCGGCCUGAUAGGGCGGUCGGCCACACUGGCACUGAGACACGGGCCAGACUCCUACGGGUGGCAGCAGUGGGGAAUUUUGGGCAAUGGGCGCAAGCCUGACCCAGCAACUCCGCGUGAAGGACGAAAUCCCUCUGGGAUGUAAACUUCGAAAGUUAGGGUAGAAAUACCGGAGGCGAAUACCCUCCGGGGAUGACGGUACCUAACGUAAUCCCCGGCUAACUACGUGCCAGCAGCCGCGGUAAUAAGGU
Molecule: ribosomal RNA, 539 nt
Filed under: uncultured Acidobacteriota bacterium
Lineage: Bacteria; Pseudomonadati; Acidobacteriota
Description: bacterial SSU rRNA
Rfam family: Bacterial small subunit ribosomal RNA
Source: RNAcentral